RNAcentral lists this ribosomal RNA (484 nucleotides) under uncultured bacterium. RNAcentral's name for it is "bacterial SSU rRNA". It matches the Rfam family "Bacterial small subunit ribosomal RNA", at positions 15 to 518 of the family's 1533-position model. The record is from RNAcentral.
GAUUAUGGCUCAGGAUGAACGCUGGCGGCGUGCUUAACACAUGCAAGUUGUGCGGUGAUCUCAAGAAGUUUCGGACGGAAAGGGAGAGCAGCAGCGGACGGGUGAGUAAAGCACAAGGACUUGUCCCGAAGAGGGGGACAACUGUGGGAAACCACAGCUAAUACCCCAUAAGCCGAGAGGUGAAAGCAGUAAUGCGCUUUAGGAGAGACUUGUGUCCUAUCAGGUAGUUGGUGAGGUAACGGCUCACCAAGCCGAAGACGGGUAGCCGGACUGAGAGGUUGUACGGCCACAUUGGAACUGAGAGACGGUCCAGACUCCUACGGGAGGCAGCAGUGGGGAAUAUUGGGCAAUGGGGGGCCAACCCUGACCCAGCGACGCCGCGUGAGGGAAGACAGCCUUCGGGUUGUAAACCUCUGUUGCAGGGGAAGAAGAAAGUGACGGUACCCUGCGAGGAAGCUCCGGCAAACUACGUGCCAGCCGCCGC